This 71-nucleotide transfer RNA is filed under the name bacterium. Its description in RNAcentral is "tRNA-Ala". It matches the Rfam family "tRNA". From Rfam's summary of the family: Transfer RNA (tRNA) molecules are approximately 80 nucleotides in length. Their secondary structure includes four short double-helical elements and three loops (D, anti-codon, and T loops). Further hydrogen bonds mediate the characteristic L-shaped molecular structure. tRNAs have two regions of fundamental functional importance: the anti-codon, which is responsible for specific mRNA codon recognition, and the 3' end, to which the tRNAs corresponding amino acid is attached (by aminoacyl-tRNA synthetases). tRNAs cope with the degeneracy of the genetic code in two manners: having more than one tRNA (with a specific anti-codon) for a particular amino acid; and 'wobble' base-pairing, i.e. permitting non-standard base-pairing at the 3rd anti-codon position. The record is from RNAcentral.
GGGCCUAUGGUAAAGUGGCAUCACCCAUCCAUGGCAUGGAUGGGUCGAGAGUUCGAUUCUCUCUAGGUCCA